RNAcentral lists this ribosomal RNA (450 nucleotides) under uncultured Glomus. Its description in RNAcentral is "SSU rRNA". It matches the Rfam family "Eukaryotic small subunit ribosomal RNA", at positions 569 to 1023 of the family's 1831-position model. Lineage: Eukaryota; Fungi; Glomeromycota; Glomeromycetes; Glomerales; Glomeraceae. The record is from RNAcentral.
AGCAGCCGCGGUAAUUCCAGCUCCAAUAGCGUAUAUUAAAGUUGUUGCAGUUAAAAAGCUCGUAGUUGAAUUUCGGGAUCAGAUUGUUGGUCGUGCCUCGGUACGCACUGGCAUUAUUGGUUCCUACCUUCUGAAGAACCGCGAUGUCAUUAAUUUGGUGUCGUGGGGAAUCAGGACUGUUACUUUGAAAAAUUAGAGUGUUUAAAGCAGGCGCACGCUUGAAUACAUUAGCAUGGAAUAAUGAAAUAGGACGUUUUGAUUCUAUUUUGUUGGUUUCUAGGAUCGACGUAAUGAUUAAUAGGGAUAGUUGGGGGCAUUAGUAUUCAAUUGUCAGAGGUGAAAUUCUUGGAUUUAUUGAAGACUAACUACUGCGAAAAGCAUUUGCCAAGGAUGUUUUCAUUAAUCAAGAACGAAAGUUAGGGGAUCGAAGACGAUCAGAUACCGUCGUAG